Molecule: unclassified non-coding RNA, 233 nt
Filed under: Hevea brasiliensis (rubber tree)
Lineage: Eukaryota; Viridiplantae; Streptophyta; Magnoliopsida; Malpighiales; Euphorbiaceae
Source: RNAcentral
UGAGGAGCACUAAACAGAUGAUCCUGUGGGUUGUCAGCAUUGUGAAUAUCACCGUCACCACUAGUGGAAGCCCCAUGAGCAUCCAACGAAACUUCAGCAGGUAUCCUGUCAUCCAAGUCUGCUGGAAGAUAUUCAUCAUCCAUGUAAUCUCUCUCAGUUAAAGAGGUAGAGGAAGAAUUUUCUAGGUGCUGAACCAACUUUUCAGUUAGAUACAUCUCAGCCAUAUCUUCAUC